UGGGGAAUAUUGCACAAUGGGCGAAAGCCUGAUGCAGCGACGCCGCGUGAGGGAUGACGGCCUUCGGGUUGUAAACCUCUUUCAGCAGGGAAGAAGCCACAAGUGACGGUACCUGCAGAAGAAGCGCCGGCUAACUACGUGCCAGCAGCCGCGGUAAUACGUAGGGCGCAAGCGUUGUCCGGAAUUAUUGGGCGUAAAGAGCUCGUAGGCGGUUUGUCGCGUCUGCUGUGAAAGCCCGGAGCUUAACCCCGGGUGUGCAGUGGGUACGGGCAGACUAGAGUGCAGUAGGGGAGACUGGAAUUCCUGGUGUAGCGGUGGAAUGCGCAGAUAUCAGGAGGAACACCGAUGGCGAAGGCAGGUCUCUGGGCUGUUACUGACGCUGAGGAGCGAAAGCAUGGGGAGCGAACA
Molecule: ribosomal RNA, 408 nt
Filed under: uncultured bacterium
Lineage: Bacteria
Description: partial 16S ribosomal RNA
Rfam family: Bacterial small subunit ribosomal RNA
Source: RNAcentral